RNAcentral lists this ribosomal RNA (497 nucleotides) under uncultured bacterium. Its description in RNAcentral is "partial 16S ribosomal RNA". It matches the Rfam family "Bacterial small subunit ribosomal RNA", at positions 28 to 507 of the family's 1533-position model. The record is from RNAcentral.
GAUGAACGCUGGCGGCGUGCCUAAUACAUGCAAGUCGAGCGAACAGACGAGGAGCUUGCUCCUCUGACGUUAGCGGCGGACGGGUGAGUAACACGUGGAUAACCUACCUAUAAGACUGGGAUAACUUCGGGAAACCGGAGCUAAUACCGGAUAACAUGUUGAACCGCAUGGUUCAACAGUGAAAGACGGUCUUGCUGUCACUUAUAGAUGGAUCCGCGCCGCAUUAGCUAGUUGGUAAGGUAACGGCUUACCAAGGCAACGAUGCGUAGCCGACCUGAGAGGGUGAUCGGCCACACGGGAACUGGGACACGGUCCAGAGUCCUACGGGAGGCAGCAGUAGGGAAUCUUCCGCAAUGGGCGAAAGCCUGACGGAGCAACGCCGCGUGAGUGAAGAAGGUGUUCGGAUCGUAAAACUCUGUUAUUAGGGAAGAACAAAUGUGUAAGUAACUAUGCACGUCUUGACGGUACCUAAUCAGAAAGCCACGGCUAACUACGUG